UUCCGGUUGAUCCUGCCGGACCUGACUGCUAUCGGAUUGAUACUAAGCCAUGCGAGUCUUUGUAGUAAUACAAGGCAGACGGCUCAGUAACACGUAGUCAACCUACCCUAUGGACGAGAAUAAUCUCGGGAAACUGAGCAUAAUUCUUGAUAGAUCAUAAUGCCUGGAAUGGUUUAUGGUUAAAAUGAUUCGUCGCCAUAGGAUGGGACUGCGGCCUAUCAGCUUGUUGGUGAGGUAAUGGCCCACCAAGGCGAUUACAGGUACGGGCUCUGAGAGGAGAAGCCCGGAGAUGGGUACUGAGACACGGACCCAGGCCCUAUGGGGCGCAGCAGGCGAGAAAACUUUGCAAUGUGCGAAAGCACGACAAGGUUAAUCCGAGUGAUUUCUGCUAAAGGAAUCUUUUGCCAGUUCUAAAAAUACUAGUGAAUAAGGGGUGGGCAAGUUCUGGUGUCAGCCGCCGCGGUAAAACCAGCACCUCAAGUGGUCAGGAGGAUUAUUGGGCCUAAAGCAUCCGUAGCCUGCUCUGUAAGUUUUCGGUUAAAUCUAUAUGCUCAACAUAUAGGCUGCCGAAAAUACUGCAGUGCUAGGAAGUGGGAGAGGUAGACGGUACUUGAUAGGAAGGGGUAAAAUCCUUUGAUCUAUCGAUGACCACCUGUGGCGAAGGCGGUCUACCAGAACACGUUCGACGGUGAGGGAUGAAAGCUGGGGGAGCAAACCGGAUUAGAUACCCGGGUAGUCCCAGCUGUAAACGAUGCAGACUCGAUGAUGCAUUGGCAUAUAGCCAGUGCAGUGUCGCAGGGAAGCCGUUAAGUCUGCCGCCUGGGAAGUACGUACGCAAGUAUGAAACUUAAAGGAAUUGGCGGGGGAGCACCACAAGGGGUGAAGCCUGCGGUUCAAUUGGAUUCAACGCCGGG
Molecule: ribosomal RNA, 914 nt
Filed under: uncultured marine archaeon
Lineage: Archaea
Description: bacterial SSU rRNA
Rfam family: Archaeal small subunit ribosomal RNA
Source: RNAcentral